GUGAGGAAUAUUGGACAAUGGGCGCAAGCCUGAUCCAGCCAUGCCGCGUGCAGGAAGACGCAUCUAUGGUGUGUAAACUGCUUUUGUACGGGAAGAAACACUCCCUCGUGAGGGAGCUUGACGGUACCGUAAGAAUAAGGAUCGGCUAACUCCGUGCCAGCAGCCGCGGUAAUACGGAGGAUCCAAGCGUUAUCCGGAAUCAUUGGGUUUAAAGGGUCCGUAGGCGGUUUAAUAAGUCAGUGGUGAAAGCCCAUCGCUCAACGAUGAAACGGCCAUUGAUACUGUUAGACUUGAAUUACAAGGAAGUAACUAGAAUAUGUAGUGUAGCGGUGAAAUGCUUAGAUAUUACAUGGAAUACCAAUUGCGAAGGCAGGUUACUACUUGUGGAUUGACGCUGAUGGACGAAAGCGUGGGGAGCGAACAGGAUUAGAUACCCUUGUAGUCC
Molecule: ribosomal RNA, 445 nt
Filed under: uncultured bacterium
Lineage: Bacteria
Description: partial 16S ribosomal RNA
Rfam family: Bacterial small subunit ribosomal RNA
Source: RNAcentral